CUUCGCUUCAGUGUGCACACGGCUUGGAGUUUGUCCAGGGAACCUCUCUCACCUGGCUGUCUCAACAGGAGUGUGACUCUUGCGUAUAACAAUUAGCCUGAGGAUGCACCUUAUCUUAAAAGCAUGCUGGGGAGGACUCAAGAUGGCACUGUAAGAACAACCCAGGAUUGGAGCUUGUGUUGAAUCCGCAAAUGAGGCCUCAAGCUCAGACAGAAGUGAGAAACUGGAUCCCUCUCAGGUCUUUCUGCACAAGUGUCUUGUAGACUGGGUUUCACCGUGAUGCCCAGGCUGAACUCCUGACCUGAAGUGAUUUGCCUGCCUCCGCCUCCCAAAGUGCUGGGAUUACAGGCUUAAGCCAUUGCAACCGGCCAGGUUUUUGUGUGUGUGUUUGUUUGUUUGUUUUAAAUGUGAUUCAAAGAAACAAAUCAAAAGGAGUUCAGAAAAACAAACUCUCUCUAGAUUGCUUUUAUGGGUUACUAUUAUCAAAAACUAUUAUGGAAGAGGUAGGUGAUGACAUA
Callithrix jacchus (white-tufted-ear marmoset) is the source of this 518-nucleotide long non-coding RNA. RefSeq lists it as uncharacterized. The record is from RefSeq and is a predicted model, not a curated record. NCBI's taxonomy places the organism in Eukaryota, Metazoa, Chordata, Mammalia, Primates, Cebidae.